This 201-nucleotide ribosomal RNA is filed under the name uncultured bacterium. RNAcentral describes it as "partial 16S ribosomal RNA". It matches the Rfam family "Bacterial small subunit ribosomal RNA", at positions 1300 to 1500 of the family's 1533-position model. The record is from RNAcentral.
GCAGGCUGCAACUCGCCUGCAUGAAGUUGGAAUUGCUAGUAAUGGCAGGUCAGCAUACUGCCGUGAAUACGUUCCCGGGCCUUGUACACACCGCCCGUCACACCAUGAGAGUUGGGGAUACCCGAAGCCUGUGAGCUAACAUUUUAGAGGCAGCAGUCGAAGGUAGAAUCAAUGAUUGGGGUGAAGUCGUAACAAGGUACC